Molecule: ribosomal RNA, 367 nt
Filed under: uncultured bacterium
Lineage: Bacteria
Description: bacterial SSU rRNA
Rfam family: Bacterial small subunit ribosomal RNA
Source: RNAcentral
GGAGGAUCCAAGCGUUAUCCGGAUUUAUUGGGUUUAAAGGGUGCGCAGGCGGAAGAUUAAGUCGGCGGUGAAAUUUUGCAGCUCAACUGUAAAAGUGCCAUCGAUACUGGUUUUCUUGAGUGUGGAUGAAGUAGGCGGAAUUUGUGGUGUAGCGGUGAAAUGCAUAGAUAUCACGAGGAACUCCGAUUGCGCAGGCAGCUUACUAGGCCAUAACUGACGCUCAGGCACGAAGGCGUGGGGAUCAAACAGGAUUAGAUACCCUGGUAGUCCACGCAGUAAACGAUGAUUACUCGCUGUUUGCGAUACACAGUAAGCGGCUUAGCGAAAGCGUUAAGUAAUCCACCUGGGGAGUACGUUCGCAAGAAUG